This 419-nucleotide ribosomal RNA is filed under the name bacterium. RNAcentral's name for it is "partial 16S ribosomal RNA". It matches the Rfam family "Bacterial small subunit ribosomal RNA", at positions 355 to 776 of the family's 1533-position model. The record is from RNAcentral.
UGGGGGAUAUUGCACAAUGGGCGAAAGCCUGAUGCAGCGACGCCGCGUGGGGGAUGAAGGCCUUCGGGUUGUAAACUUCUUUUGCUCUGAACAAGGCGCACCAUGGGGUGUGUUGAGUGUAGGGGUUGAUUAGCGCCGGCUAACUACGUGCCAGCAGCCGCGGUAAUACGUAGGGCGCGAGCGUUGUCCGGAAUUAUUGGGCGUAAAGGGCUUGUAGGUGGCUGGUUGUGUCUGUCGUGAAAGCUCAUGGCUUAACUGUGGGUUUGCGGUGGGUACGGGCUGGCUUGAGUGCAGUAGGGGAGGCUGGAAUUCCUGGUGUAGCGGUGGAAUGCGCAGAUAUCAGGAGGAAUACCGGUGGCGAAGGCGGGUCUCUGGGCUGUUACUGACACUGAGGAGCGAAAGCAUGGGGAGCGAACAGG